This 33-nucleotide ribosomal RNA is filed under the name Eunicella cavolini. RNAcentral describes it as "Eunicella cavolinii partial 28S ribosomal RNA". Lineage: Eukaryota; Metazoa; Cnidaria; Anthozoa; Malacalcyonacea; Eunicellidae. The record is from RNAcentral.
UUAACCUCAGAUCAGGCAAGAUUACCCGCCGAA